GGAUUAGAUACCCUGGUAGUCCACGCCGUAAACGAUGUCUACUUGGAGGUUGGAACCUUGAGUUCUGGCUUUCGGAGCUAACGCAUUAAGUAGACCGCCUGGGGAGUACGGUCGCAAGAUUAAAACUCAAAUGAAUUGACGGGGGCCCGCACAAGCGGUGGAGCAUGUGGUUUAAUUCGAGGCAACGCGAAGAACCUUACCUACUCUUGACAUCCAGAGAACUUUCCAGAGAUGGAUUGGUGCCUUCGGGAACUCUGAGACAGGUGCUGCAUGGCUGUCGUCAGCUCGUGCUG
This 293-nucleotide ribosomal RNA is filed under the name uncultured bacterium. RNAcentral describes it as "partial 16S ribosomal RNA". It matches the Rfam family "Bacterial small subunit ribosomal RNA", at positions 775 to 1067 of the family's 1533-position model. The record is from RNAcentral.